This 66-nucleotide transfer RNA is filed under the name Myadora brevis. RNAcentral describes it as "tRNA-Gln". The record is from RNAcentral. Lineage: Eukaryota; Metazoa; Mollusca; Bivalvia; Myochamidae.
AAUAAGGUAGUGUAGUGUGCACAUAAGGUUUUGGUCCUUAAAGAAUAACUCGAUGUUUCCUUGUUA